CUNUACGAGGUCAGNCUGACCAGUGACCAUGUUCANCGGNCGCGGUAUCCUAACCGUGCGAAGGUAGCGUANUCACUUGUUCUANAACUGUGGACUAGUAUGAAUGGCAUCACGAAGGUUAUACUGUCUCCUGACANCUAAUCAGUGAAACUANUCUUCCCGUGAAGAAGCGGGAAUAACCCUAUAAGACGAGAAGACCCUAUGGAGCUUAAANCAAUAUAACAUCUGCUACACAACUUAUUAACUUCCGAACACUUAAUUUUAUAAGCAAUAUGUUUAUGAGUUUAUGGUUGGGGUGACCGCGGANCAUAACACAACCUCCACAUUGAAAGNACUUUUUCUAAGCUGAGAAUUACAAAUCUGANCAUCAGUAUUCUGACAUCCAUUGACCCAAUAUAUUGNACAACGANCCAAGUUACCCUAGGGAUAACANCNCAANCCACCUCNAGAGCUNCUAUCGACAAGUGGGUUUACGUCCUCGAUGUUGGAUCAGGGUAUNCCAGUGGUGCACCCGCUACCNAAGGNUCGUCCCGNU
RNAcentral lists this ribosomal RNA (535 nucleotides) under Anaxyrus americanus (American toad). RNAcentral describes it as "partial 16S ribosomal RNA". It matches the Rfam family "Bacterial large subunit ribosomal RNA", at positions 1893 to 2581 of the family's 2925-position model. The record is from RNAcentral. Lineage: Eukaryota; Metazoa; Chordata; Amphibia; Anura; Bufonidae.